This is a small nuclear RNA of Xiphophorus hellerii (green swordtail), 164 nucleotides long. RefSeq annotates it as U1 spliceosomal RNA. The transcript has a single exon. NCBI's taxonomy places the organism in Eukaryota, Metazoa, Chordata, Actinopteri, Cyprinodontiformes, Poeciliidae. The record is from RefSeq and is a predicted model, not a curated record.
AUACUUACCUGGCAGGGGCGACUCCAUGAUCCUGUAGGUGGAUCGCCCAGGGUGAGGAUCAGCCAUUGCACUGCGGCGAUCUGACCUCUGUGAAUUCUCCACAUGGGAGAAUCUCAACUGCACAAUUUUAUGGUAGUGGGGGACUGCGUUCGCGCUCUCCCCUG